CUCAGAUUGAACGCUGGCGGCAGGCCUAACACAUGCAAGUCGAGCGGUAACAUUUCUAGCUUGCUAGAAGAUGACGAGCGGCGGACGGGUGAGUAAUGCUUGGGAACAUGCCUUGAGGUGGGGGACAACGAGUUGGAAACGACUGCUAAUACCGCAUAAUGUCUACGGACCAAAGGGGGCUUCGGCUCUCGCCUUUAGAUUGGCCCAAGUGGGAUUAGCUAGUUGGUGAGGUAAUGGCUCACCAAGGCAACGAUCCCUAGCUGGUUUGAGAGGAUGAUCAGCCACACUGGGACUGAGACACGGCCCAGACUCCUACGGGAGGCAGCAGUGGGGAAUAUUGCACAAUGGGCGCAAGCCUGAUGCAGCCAUGCCGCGUGUGUGAAGAAGGCCUUCGGUUGUAAACGUCGACUUUCAGUCAGAGGAAAGGUUAAGUAGUUAAGUACCUAGCUAGCUGUGACGUUACGUGACAGAAGAAGA
Molecule: ribosomal RNA, 477 nt
Filed under: uncultured bacterium
Lineage: Bacteria
Description: bacterial SSU rRNA
Rfam family: Bacterial small subunit ribosomal RNA
Source: RNAcentral